CCUACGGGAGGCAGCAGUGGGGGAUAUUGCACAAUGGGGGGAACCCUGAUGCAGCGACGCCGCGUGGGUGAAGAAGCGCCUCGGCGCGUAAAGCCCUGUCAGCAGGGAAGCAAAUGACGGUACCUGAAGAAGAAGCACCGGCUAACUACGUGCCAGCAGCCGCGGUGAUACGUAGGGGGCAAGCGUUAUCCGGAUUUACUGGGGGUAAAGGGGGCGCAGUCGGGGAUGAAAGCCAAGAGUGAAAGCCCGGGGCCCAACCCCGGGACUGCUGUGGGCACGGCGUGGCUGGCGUGCAGGAGGGGCAGGCGGAAGUCGUGGUGGAGCGGUGAAAUGCGUAGAUAUCACGAGGAACACCGGUGGCGAAGGCGGCCUGCUGGACUGCGACUGACGUUGAGGCCCGAAAGCGUGGGGAGCGAACAGGAUUAGAUACCCGAGUAGUC
This 440-nucleotide ribosomal RNA is filed under the name uncultured bacterium. RNAcentral describes it as "partial 16S ribosomal RNA". It matches the Rfam family "Bacterial small subunit ribosomal RNA", at positions 338 to 795 of the family's 1533-position model. The record is from RNAcentral.